Molecule: ribosomal RNA, 497 nt
Filed under: uncultured bacterium
Lineage: Bacteria
Description: partial 16S ribosomal RNA
Rfam family: Bacterial small subunit ribosomal RNA
Source: RNAcentral
GAUGAACGCUGGCGGCGUGCCUAAUACAUGCAAGUCGAGCGAACAGACGAGGAGCUUGCUCCUCUGACGUUAGCGGCGGACGGGUGAGUAACACGUGGAUAACCUACCUAUAAGACUGGGAUAACUUCGGGAAACCGGAGCUAAAACCGGAUAACAUGUUGAACCGCAUGGUUCAACAGUGAAAGACGGUCUUGCCGUCACUUAUAGAUGGAUCCGCGCCGCAUUAGCUAGUUGGUAAGGUAACGGCUUACCAAGGCAACGAUGCGUAGCCGACCUGAGAGGGUGAUCGGCCACACUGGAACUGAGACACGGUCCAGACUCCUACGGGAGGCAGCAGUAGGGAAUCUUCCGCAAUGGGCGAAAGCCUGACGGAGCAACGCCGCGUGAGUGAAGAAGGUCUUCGGAUCGUAAAACUCUGUUAUUAGGGAAGAACAAAUGUGUAAGUAACUGUGCGCGUCUUGACGGUACCUAAUCAGAAAGCCACGGCUAACUACGUG